AUGCUCUUUGCGGAUGAUGUGGUGCUAGUUGACGAUAGUCGGACGGGGGUAAAUAGGAAGUUAGAGUUAUGGAGACAAACCUUGGAAUCGAAAGGGUUUAGGCUUAGUAGAACUAAAACCGAGUACAUGAUGUGCGGUUUCAGUACUACUAGGUGUGAGGAGGAGGAGGUUAGCCUUGAUGGCCAGGUGGUACCCCAGAAGGACACAUUUCGGUAUUUGGGGUCAAUGCUGCAGGAGGAUGGGGGUAUUGAUGAAGAUGUGAACCACCGAAUCGAAGCCGGAUGGAUGAAGUGGCGCCAAGCUUCUGGCAUUCUCUGUGACAAGAGAGUGCCACAAAAGCUAAAAGGCAAGUUCUACAGGAUGGCGGUUCGACCCGCAAUGUUGUAUGGCGCUGAGCGCUGGCCGACUAAAAGGUGA
This 417-nucleotide ribosomal RNA is filed under the name Triticum aestivum (bread wheat). Its description in RNAcentral is "partial small subunit ribosomal RNA". Lineage: Eukaryota; Viridiplantae; Streptophyta; Magnoliopsida; Poales; Poaceae. The record is from RNAcentral.